RNAcentral lists this ribosomal RNA (520 nucleotides) under uncultured bacterium. RNAcentral's name for it is "bacterial SSU rRNA". It matches the Rfam family "Bacterial small subunit ribosomal RNA", at positions 501 to 1016 of the family's 1533-position model. The record is from RNAcentral.
CUACGUGCCAGCAGCCGCGGUAAUACGUAGGGCGCGAGCGUUGUCCGGAAUUAUUGGGCGUAAAGAGCUUGUAGGCGGUUUGUCGCGUCUGCUGUGAAAGGCCGGGGCUUAACCCCGUGUAUUGCAGUGGGUACGGGCAGACUAGAGUGCAGUAGGGGAGACUGGAAUUCCUGGUGUAGCGGUGGAAUGCGCAGAUAUCAGGAGGAACACCGAUGGCGAAGGCAGGUCUCUGGGCUGUAACUAACGCUGAGAAGCGAAAGCAUGGGGAGCGAACAGGAUUAGAUACCCUGGUAGUCCAUGCCGUAAACGUUGGGCACUAGGUGUGGGGGACAUUCCACGUUUUCCGCGCCGUAGCUAACGCAUUAAGUGCCCCGCCUGGGGAGUACGGCCGCAAGGCUAAAACUCAAAGGAAUUGACGGGGGCCCGCACAAGCGGUGAAGCAUGUGGUUUAAUUCGAAGCAACGCGAAGAACCUUACCAGGUCUUGACAUCCCUCUGACCGCUCUAGAGAUAGAGUUUUC